CCUACGGGGUGCAGCAGUGGGGACUAUUGCACAAUGGGGGAAACCCUGAUGCAGCGACGCCGCGUGAGUGAAGAAGUAUUUCGGUAUGUAAAGCUCUAUCAGCAGGAACGAGACAAGACGGUACCUGACUAAGAAGCCCCGGCUAACUACGUGCCAGCAGCCGCGGUAAAACGUAGGGGGCCAGCGUUAUCCGGAAUCACUGGGUGGAAAGGGAGCGUAGACGGCUGAGCAAGCCUGAAGGGAAAGGCGGGGGUCCAACCCCCGGACUGCUUUGGGAACUGUACGGCUGGAGUGCAGGAGAGGUAAGUGGAAGUCCUAGUGGAGCGGUGAAAUGCGUAGAUAUUAGGAGGAACACCAGUGGCGAAGGCGGCUUACUGGACUGUAACUGACGUUGAGGCUCGAAAGCGUGGGGAGCAAACAGGAUUAGAUACCACGGUAGUC
RNAcentral lists this ribosomal RNA (441 nucleotides) under uncultured bacterium. Its description in RNAcentral is "partial 16S ribosomal RNA". It matches the Rfam family "Bacterial small subunit ribosomal RNA", at positions 338 to 795 of the family's 1533-position model. The record is from RNAcentral.